GAUGAACGCUGGCGGCGUGCCUAAUACAUGCAAGUCGAGCGAACAGAUGAGGAGCUUGCUCCUCUGACGUUAGCGGCGGACGGGUGAGUAACACGUGGAUAACCUACCUAUAAGACUGGGAUAACUUCGGGAAACCGGAGCUAAUACCGGAUAAUAUAUUGAACCGCAUGGUUCACUAGUGAAAGACGGUUUUGCUGUCACUUAUAGAUGGAUCCGCGCCGCAUUAGCUAGUUGGUAAGGUAACGGCUUACCAAGGCAACGAUGCGUAGCCGACCUGAGAGGGUGAUCGGCCACACUGGAACUGAGACACGGUCCAGACUCCUGCGGGAGGCAGCAGUAGGGAAUCUUCCGCAAUGGGCGAAAGCCUGACGGAGCAACGCCGCGUGAGUGAUGAAGGUCUUCGGAUCGUAAAACUCUGUUAUUAGGGAAGAACAAAUGUGUAAGUAACUAUGCACGUCUUGACGGUACCUAAUCAGAAAGCCACGGCUAACUACGUG
Molecule: ribosomal RNA, 497 nt
Filed under: uncultured bacterium
Lineage: Bacteria
Description: partial 16S ribosomal RNA
Rfam family: Bacterial small subunit ribosomal RNA
Source: RNAcentral